GGAGAGAUGGCCGAGUCCGGUUGAAGGCGGCUGCCUCGAAAGCAGUUGUGGGGGAAACUCCACCGGGGGUUCAAAUCCCUCUCUCUCCGUCA
This 92-nucleotide transfer RNA is filed under the name Nitrospirae bacterium RIFCSPHIGHO2_02_FULL_42_12. RNAcentral's name for it is "tRNA-Ser". It matches the Rfam family "tRNA". From Rfam's summary of the family: Transfer RNA (tRNA) molecules are approximately 80 nucleotides in length. Their secondary structure includes four short double-helical elements and three loops (D, anti-codon, and T loops). Further hydrogen bonds mediate the characteristic L-shaped molecular structure. tRNAs have two regions of fundamental functional importance: the anti-codon, which is responsible for specific mRNA codon recognition, and the 3' end, to which the tRNAs corresponding amino acid is attached (by aminoacyl-tRNA synthetases). tRNAs cope with the degeneracy of the genetic code in two manners: having more than one tRNA (with a specific anti-codon) for a particular amino acid; and 'wobble' base-pairing, i.e. permitting non-standard base-pairing at the 3rd anti-codon position. Lineage: Bacteria; Pseudomonadati; Nitrospirota. The record is from RNAcentral.